Molecule: ribosomal RNA, 467 nt
Filed under: uncultured bacterium
Lineage: Bacteria
Description: partial 16S ribosomal RNA
Rfam family: Bacterial small subunit ribosomal RNA
Source: RNAcentral
GACGAACGCUGGCGGCGUGCUUAACACAUGCAAGUCGAACGGAAAGGCCUCUUUCGGGGGGUACUCGCGUGGCGAACGGGUGAGUAACACGUGAGUAACCUGCCCUUGACUUUGGGAUAACUUCAGUAAACUGGGGCUAAUACCGGAUAGGAGCUCCUGCUGCAUGGUGGGGGUUGGAAAGUUUCGGCGGUUGGGGAUGGACUCGCGGCUUAUCAGCUUGUUGGUGGGGUAGUGGCUUACCAAGGCUUUGACGGGUAGCCGGCCUGAGAGGGUGACCGGCCACAUUGGGACUGAGAUACGGCCCAGACUCCUACGGGAGGCAGCAGUGGGGAAUAUUGCACAAUGGGUGGAAGCCUGAUGCAGCAACGCCGUGUGCGGGAUGACGGCCUUCGGGUUGUAAACCGCUUGCGCUCAUGACGAAGCUUUGUGUGACGGUAGUGGGUAAAGAAGCACCGGCUAACUACGUG